AAAGAGUUAUUAUUCAGAUUUAAGUAAUACCUAACUUGUUGUAAUUUGAUAACUUUAGAAACAUUUAUAUCUAUACAUUGUUUAAUUUUAUUGUAAAGUUUAAUUGAAAAAUUAAAUGUUAUUGAAAAUUUGAAAUACAGAUCCUGUGUCACAGCCGUGCUUACAAGGAUCUGACAACACUCCUGUUGUACCUUCUGUUCUUGUUAUUAGUCCCCUACCCAAGAAGUUUGCACUCUGUCCGUCUGUCCAUCCCUCAGUCCUGCAAAUAAGUUUUCCA
RNAcentral lists this long non-coding RNA (277 nucleotides) under Mytilus galloprovincialis (Mediterranean mussel). The record is from RNAcentral. Lineage: Eukaryota; Metazoa; Mollusca; Bivalvia; Mytilida; Mytilidae.